CAGUCGCCGCGGUAAUACAGAGGGUGCAAGCGUUAAUCGGAAUUACUGGGCGUAAAGUGCGCGUAGGUGGUUUGUUAAGUUGGAUGUGAAAUCCCCGGGCUCAACCUGGGAACUGCAUCCAAAACUGGCAAGCUAGAGUAUGGUAGAGGGUGGUGGAAUUUCCUGUGUAGCGGUGAAAUGCGUAGAUAUAGGAAGGAACACCAGUGGCGAAGGCGACCACCUGGACUGAUACUGACACUGAGGUGCGAAAGCGUGGGGAGCAAACAGGAUUAGAUACCCGAGUAGUCCCUGUCUCUUAUAA
Molecule: ribosomal RNA, 301 nt
Filed under: uncultured bacterium
Lineage: Bacteria
Description: partial 16S ribosomal RNA
Rfam family: Bacterial small subunit ribosomal RNA
Source: RNAcentral